CCUACGGGGGGCAGCAGUGAGGAAUAUUGGUCAAUGGACGCAAGUCUGAACCAGCCACGUCGCGUGAAGGAAGACGGCCCUACGGGUUGUAAACUUCUUUUGUAAGGGAAUAAAGUGAGCCACGUGUGGUUUUUUGCAUGUACCUUACGAAUAAGGAUCGGCUAACUCCGUGCCAGCAGCCGCGGUAAUACGGAGGAUCCGAGCGUUAUCCGGAUUUAUUGGGUUUAAAGGGUGCGCAGGCGGGGGAUUAAGUCGGCGGUGAAAUUUUGCAGCUCAACUGUAAAAGUGCCUUCGAAACUGGUUUCCUUGAGUGUAGAUGAAGUAGGCGGAAUUUGUGGUGUAGCGGUGAAAUGCUUAGAGAUCACACAGAAUAUCGAUUGCGAAGGCAGCUCACAAAGCCAAGAUUGACGCUGAGGCACGAAAGUGUGGGGAUCAAACAGGAUUAGAUACCCUGGUAGUCCACACUGUAAACGAUGAUAACUCGCUGUCGGCGAUAUACAGUCGGUGGCCAAGCGAAAGCGAUAAGUUAUCCACCUGGGGAGUACGACCGCAAGGUUGAAACUCAAAGGAAUUGACGGGGGCCCGCACAAGCGGAGGAACAUGUGGUUUAAUUCGAUGAUACGCGAGGAACCUUACCCGGGCUCGAACGGUGCAGGAAUAUGGUAGAGAUAUCAUAGCUAGCAAUAGUCUGUAUCGAGGUGCUGCAUGGUUGUCGUCAGCUCGUGCCGUGAGGUGUCGGCUUAAGUGCCAUAACGAGCGCAACCCUUGUCAUUAGUUACCAUCAGGUCAAGCUGGGGACUCUAAUGAGACUGCCACCGUAAGGUGAGAGGAAGGGGGGGAUGACGUCAAAUCAGCACGGCCC
This 862-nucleotide ribosomal RNA is filed under the name uncultured bacterium. Its description in RNAcentral is "bacterial SSU rRNA". It matches the Rfam family "Bacterial small subunit ribosomal RNA", at positions 338 to 1201 of the family's 1533-position model. The record is from RNAcentral.